AAGUUAUAGAUGAUAUCUAUUUAUGUCCUGACCUCCAGUAACAGCAGACACAUGAGAGGCAAAGUUCUGUGAGCGCGCGAAAAUCGAUCAUUUUCAGUUCAAAUCAAUCAGUGGCGGUUGGAGAGUCAGCUGCUCAACGGAACCUCGGCGUCCGGCUUUACCGAAGGCUACUUCAUUUCUGGAUACAAAUGUCACACCGCAGUCUCGAGAACACAAAAGGAGGAACAGAAAUGAAAAGGUCUCAAGCCAAAAUACGAGAGGUUGAAAAUGCACCUUGUUCAGAGACAUCUCCAGCAAAAAUGAGAAAGAAUUUCAGACCAGCUUCUGGAGACAUGUCUUAUGGGUUUGAAACUGCUUUGGCAGGCAAGUUUGUAUAUAUACAACUCUUUUUAUUGAUUAUGUGGUAUUGUGUAGCAUAUAUUUUCAUAACAGCUGAUUGAAUUACCUCAUCAUUUUAACAUAACUGUUUCACAUCGAUUGUUGUAGGCAUAAUAAACUUGUGAGGUAACUUAAUGCAUUUUUUCCCCCAUUUUAGAGGCUAGCCGAGAGGUCAGUCUCCUGUUUUCCAAGUACUUGGAGGUCUUGAGGUAAUUGAAUGAAUAUGUAUACCACCUCUGUGUCUCAUCACUUGUGUAUCUACAAAGUUUUCUCUCAAACACUGAUUUUACAUGUUAUCUUCUAAGGGAAAGAGCUGCUGUGGAUGCUUCACAGCUUGGGGAACUGGAAGGUAUUCUUACUGAAGCCAGGAGUUUAGAGGCUAAUCUUAAAGAAAAGAAGGAAC
Non-coding RNA from Danio rerio (zebrafish), 781 nucleotides. The record is from RefSeq and is a predicted model, not a curated record. Lineage: Eukaryota; Metazoa; Chordata; Actinopteri; Cypriniformes; Danionidae.